GCGUGUAGCAGUGAAAUGCGUAGAUAUGCGGAGGAAUACCGAUGGCGAAGGCAGCCCCCUGGGAUAAUACUGACGCUCAUGCACGAAAGCGUGGGGAGCAAACAGGAUUAGAUACCCUGGUAGUCCACGCCCUAAACGAUGCCGACUAGCUGUUGGGGCCUUACGGCUUUAGUAACGCAGCUAACGCGUGAAGUUGACCGCCUGGGGAGUACGGUCGCGAGAUUAAAACUCAAAGGAAUUGACGGGGACCCGCACAAGCGGUGGAUGAUGUGGAUUAAUUCGAUGCAACGCGAAAAACCUUACCUACCCUUGACAUGUCUGGAAUCCCGAAGAGAUUUGGGAGGGGUCCGUAGAGAACUGGGACCCCGGGGCUUGCUGGGUGGCCUCCGCU
This 391-nucleotide ribosomal RNA is filed under the name uncultured Pseudomonadota bacterium. Its description in RNAcentral is "bacterial SSU rRNA". It matches the Rfam family "Bacterial small subunit ribosomal RNA", at positions 671 to 1060 of the family's 1533-position model. The record is from RNAcentral. Lineage: Bacteria; Pseudomonadati; Pseudomonadota.